Molecule: unclassified non-coding RNA, 361 nt
Filed under: uncultured fungus
Lineage: Eukaryota; Fungi
Description: partial contains 5.8S ribosomal RNA and internal transcribed spacer 2
Rfam family: 5.8S ribosomal RNA (bases 1-133)
Source: RNAcentral
UGGCUCUGGCAUCGAUGAAGAACGCAGCGAAAUGCGAUAAGUAAUGCGAAUUGCAGAUUUCAGUGAAUCAUCGAAUCUUUGAACGCACAUUGCGCCCGUCAGUAUUCUGGCGGGCAUGCCUGUCCGAGCGUCAUUUCAACCCUCAGAACCUCUUUUCGAGGAUCUGGUGCUGGGGAUCAGCCGCUCCGGCUGUCCCUGAAAUACAGUGGCGGUCUCACCGUAGCUCCUCUGCGUAGUAGUAUCACCUCGCACCGAAGCCUGCGGUUUGGCCACGCCGUAAAACCAGCCUUCGAACCCCACCCGGGCGGAGAAGACAAUUUACACCUUGGUUGACCUCGGAUCAGGUAGGGUUACCCGCUGA